Molecule: non-coding RNA, 133 nt
Organism: Clostridium sp. BL8
Lineage: Bacteria; Bacillati; Bacillota; Clostridia; Eubacteriales; Clostridiaceae
Source: Rfam
UCCACCGUGAGGUGGAAUCUGAAGGAAGCCAGCGGCAAAACUCUGGUCUGACGUACAGAAAUCACAUAUAAGGCUUACUUAAAUCGGGCUGAGUUUGCUGAACAAAACAAAGCCCAAUGCUAAUCCGAAGGUU